This 75-nucleotide transfer RNA is filed under the name Candidatus Fermentithermobacillaceae bacterium. Its description in RNAcentral is "tRNA-Val". It matches the Rfam family "tRNA". From Rfam's summary of the family: Transfer RNA (tRNA) molecules are approximately 80 nucleotides in length. Their secondary structure includes four short double-helical elements and three loops (D, anti-codon, and T loops). Lineage: Bacteria; Bacillati; Bacillota; Candidatus Fermentithermobacillia; Candidatus Fermentithermobacillales; Candidatus Fermentithermobacillaceae. The record is from RNAcentral.
GGGCGAAUAGCUCAGUGGGAGAGCACCUGCCUUACACGCAGGGGGUCACAGGUUCAAGCCCUGUUUCGCCCACCA